This 468-nucleotide ribosomal RNA is filed under the name uncultured bacterium. Its description in RNAcentral is "partial 16S ribosomal RNA". It matches the Rfam family "Bacterial small subunit ribosomal RNA", at positions 28 to 507 of the family's 1533-position model. The record is from RNAcentral.
GACGAACGCUGGCGGCGUGCUUAACACAUGCAAGUCGAACGGAAAGGCCCUGCUUUUGUGGGGUGCUCGAGUGGCGAACGGGUGAGUAACACGUGAGUAAACUGCCCUUGACUUUGGGAUAACUUCAGGAAACUGGGGCUAAUACCGGAUAGGAGCUCCUGCUGCAUGGUGGGGGUUGGAAAGUUUCGGCGGUUGGGGAUGGACUCGCGGCUUAUCAGCUUGUUGGUGGGGUAGUGGCUUACCAAGGCUUUGAAGGGUAGCCGGCCUGAGAGGGUGACCGGCCACAUUGGGACUGAGAUACGGCCCAGACUCCUACGGGAGGCAGCAGUGGGGAAUAUUGCACAAUGGGCGGAAGCCUGAUGCAGCAACGCCGCGUGCGGGAUGACGGCCUUCGGGUUGUAAACCGCUUUCGCCUGUGACGAAGCGUGAGUGACGGUAAUGGGUAAAGAAGCACCGGCUAACUACGUG